RNAcentral lists this ribosomal RNA (429 nucleotides) under Acidobacteriota bacterium. Its description in RNAcentral is "Acidobacteria bacterium partial 16S ribosomal RNA". It matches the Rfam family "Bacterial small subunit ribosomal RNA", at positions 355 to 776 of the family's 1533-position model. Lineage: Bacteria; Pseudomonadati; Acidobacteriota. The record is from RNAcentral.
UGGGGAAUUUUGAACAAUGGGGGAAACCCUGAUCCAGCCAUCCCGCGUGUGCGAUGAAGGCCUUCGGGUUGUAAAGCACUUUUGGCAGGAAAGAAACGUCAUGGGUUAAUACCCCGUGAAACUGACGGUACCUGCAGAAUAAGCACCGGCUAACUACGUGCCAGCAGCCGCGGUAAUACGUAGGGUGCAAGCGUUAAUCGGAAUUACUGGGCGUAAAGCGUGCGCAGGCGGUUCGGAAAGAAAGAUGUGAAAUCCCAGAGCUCAACUUUGGAACUGCAUUUUUAACUACCGGGCUAGAGUGUGUCAGAGGGAGGGGGAAUUCCGCGUGUAGCAGUGAAAUGCGUAGAUAUGCGGAGGAACACCGAUGGCGAAGGCAGCCUCCUGGGAUAACACUGACGCUCAUGCACGAAAGCGUGGGGAGCAAACAGG